Long non-coding RNA from Branchiostoma floridae (Florida lancelet), 1900 nucleotides. RefSeq lists it as uncharacterized. The transcript is spliced from 3 exons. Lineage: Eukaryota; Metazoa; Chordata; Leptocardii; Amphioxiformes; Branchiostomatidae. The record is from RefSeq and is a predicted model, not a curated record.
AAAAGGUCAACUUCUGACCUCAGGGUCAACAUCCUAAAGGCCACAGAAAUACUACGAUCUGAUUGGACCGUCGGAAACGCAUGCGCACCAUGCGGGCGGGACGAUUACAAAAAGUCGUUACGAGAUAUGAGAUCAGACAUGACUACGGGGUUUUACGUAUCGUUUUCUACGCUACAAAUGGCACAAGGAGUCUGCUAUGGUCGGUCAGCAAUUUGGGAGAGGCUUGUGAGUGUAGGGGGAAUAUGGUGUAAGCUCAAACGGACGGAAAAUUAUCGUGAAUGAUGUUUUAGUUGUACGUUUGGCGGCCGCCCCCCUCCCACCCUGGGCGGCGCACUCCUCCCCGCAGGAUCCAACGUGUACUUCGUACAGCUGCAGUAGAUACCUCCUUCAGACAUGCAGCACAAGUUGUGAGGGUGGAUAGCCAGAAGUAAAGCAAGCAUCAGCCAGAAGUUUAGCUGCUGAGUACUUCAAUGCUGCUACACACUCCAUAGGAACUGACUCACCACACAAAGGACUCCAAACUCAUGCCAAGAAGUUCAGCAUUCAGACACAGAAGAAGGCAGCCUGUGCUUGUUUGGACCCUACACGGAGUGCUUCGCAGCAGUGGACUUGAAUAUAGAUGACAAGAGGAUGUCUGUACGCAGUUCCACAGAAUGUACUAGUAACUCAGGUGUUCACAGUUUGGCUGGACUUUAAAAGUUUACUCAUCUGUAUUUCAAUAUCUUUAUUGACAACAACUUUGUUCUUUUAUGUGAUUGCUGUUAACCUAAGGGCCACUAAAAUCUUCAUAGCUUUGAAGACUUCCAGUAUGAAGCAAAUUGUGUUUCACUGUUGUGUGAUUGUAUGAACCGUGUGAUUAUGAUACAUUUUACAUAAUUGUCAGAAUUACAUUGUACCUACACAGGUCCCAUACAAUAUGCUUGUACCUGCAUAUACAGGUGGUAUUUUGAGCCCUGACAUGCAUCUGACCCUCACCCUUCUCCAAAGGAAAUGGAUUUCUUAGCCAGAUCACUUGGUUGUUUUUAAUCUGUUAUGAACUUAUUAAUUCCCCAAUCUAUGAAGUUUCGAAAAUGAUGAAUUGUUGCUUGAAUAAACAUGUAGCAUCACAUGAUGCUAAUACUAGUAAUAGGAUCAUGUUGGCAAAGUGUAAAACAAUACAGGCCCCAUUGAAUGUUACAUAAGUCUUUCAUAGGUCAUUAAUGCACUGCAUUUCAGUGUCAUGUUACUGUUUCUUUCAUUCAUCUUGAUCAUAGUUGCACAUUUUGCUUUUUACAUUUGUUAACAGUGACAGCAUAGUUUGGAUGUUGCACACAAUAUAUGAUACAACUGUUACAGUACACAGUAAGUACAUUGCAAAUUCUUAACUGAGUGCUUAUUGUAGUCUCCAACUUCCAAGCAGACAUGUCAGCUUGUCCAAGUAGGGACAAAUAAGUUUCCAUGGGAUUUCUGUCCUUUGUAGUCUAUUCAGUUAUCUGCCUGCCAGUUGGUUCACUCCUAUUACUCAAGUCCCCUAUUAGUAUUUGACCAAGCCAGAGUCUGGUAGAGACUGGGCUAAUUGCAGAUGAAAUGUGAUGGGCAAAUAGUGUAUGGCAAAAAUAUUGUAUAUAAUUUCUAAAGCCUGUUUGUCAGUGCACAAUGACGGAGACUGAUGAUAGGUUUAGAUAGUGUGUGAUGAUAAAAUACUUUCUUAAAUAUCAUCCAUGAUAAAAGCUGCUUGUAACUGAUCAGCUUGUACACAGGACAGUUGACCAAUGUUCAAUCAUGCUAUUAACAUUAGCUAUAUAGCUUAUAAGAAAAGGCCACAAUUGUAUAUCUGUUAUUUAUCUGUUUACCCUUUAGAAAUCCUAACUGUCAUUGUUGAUAUGUUUAUCCAAUAAAUAAUGCUGAGUUUGGCCACAAA